This is a long non-coding RNA of Cygnus olor (mute swan), 1447 nucleotides long. RefSeq lists it as uncharacterized. The transcript is spliced from 3 exons. The record is from RefSeq and is a predicted model, not a curated record. NCBI's taxonomy places the organism in Eukaryota, Metazoa, Chordata, Aves, Anseriformes, Anatidae.
CUAGCCAGGUCCUUGGUGGCAAAUCCCUUGUCUUUUUUCUACGUUGCACUUCUGGGUCAUCGACCAACUUGUUUCUAUAUAAAAAAAAUGUGACUGGAAUUUGCAGAUUGCAAGAAUGACAGAUGUAGAAACUUUCAUAACCUGAUGAGUCCAUUAUGGAAUUAUAUCGUUAACUCACGUGCAAAACUAAUCAUAUGAAGAAUGUUUAUGCUGCAGUUGUUUGAGAAGAACAAUGGUUAAUAGUUAAGAAGAUGCUGCCAAUGCCUUGGUGCCUCCCAGGAGCCCCAGCUGCCGUCCUCUGGCCUGGAAGCCCGAACGCUGCCCCGCGGGGAGCACGGCUACUCCCCUCCUAGGCUGCUCUCCACCCAGGAGAAUCAUUUUUAAACACAGCACGGCAUUUCCUCCCAAACUGAAUUUCAUGAAGUUUCCACUCCUCUGUAAUCCUUUGGCAUUCCUGGAUUCCAUUUGCAACACAAACCAAGAAGUUUGGAGGAACAUCAAAAGGUUUUUUUCAGAGAUAGCAAUGCAUGCAGAUGCACUUGCUCUGCGGCAGAUCUUGCGUAGCCUUUAGAAAGUGAGUUUAUUUCUGGAAACCUGAUUUAUGGAACAGCAAAUGGAUGGAUAGCUGAUCCCCAGGGGAAAAUGUAAAUCAGCACUGACAAGCACCUUGAAAGAUCACCAAGUUCCGACUUGAUGCUGCCAGGCUGAUAACUGUAUUAGCAAAUAUUUUAUAUAAGCCUAGCAUGUGUGCUCCCCGAUAACCAUGUGGCUUUUAACAGCUUACGUAAUGUAUAUGAGCACUUCUUUAAGAUCCGGUGUAUCACGCUAUAUCAAAGUGUUGGAUGAGGAACUGGCAAUAGGUCAUCCAAAAUUAUGCAGUUUGACGUGAAAUGAUUUUGCCUUUAUAUGGCAAAGGUAGAAACUCUCUGGGUGGUGGUGGUGCGUGUUUUGUUCUUAAAAUAUCCAAUUCUCCACACACGUGCUCUGCUGACAGCACAGCUGUAAUUAUCCAUGUGAGAAACACCUGUUUCUGAUUGUUUUUAGUGUCUUAAUUAAGCAUAUUUGGCCAAUGGGGCAGAGUGGUUGAAUGGGCACAUGGCUGCAGCUGAUAUAUGCAGGCAGAAGUGAUACACGGCAGGCAGUGUAUCUUAAUAUGGGCCAUCACCUUUUGUAAUGUUGUAAGCAGAGUCCCCUGCCCCACAAUACAGAGUGCUUUGCACAGGAAAUAUUUGUGCUGUCUCAGUCCAUUAUGUGUUUGUGCUCCUCUUCAGUUGAACUUUAAUGCUGACCCCGCUCAGGGUGUGUUGCUUGUUUUGGAAAUACUUGUGAUAUCCCUUGAAUGUUUAUUUUCCACCCCGACAUGCUGCUACAUUCUUGCAAGCUUUCUCUGGCUGCAAUGCAAUGUUUGGCCAGGAAACAGAGAAUACAAAUGAAAAACAGUGCCCUG